GUAAGCGCCGAGGAUGGGCUCGGCGGAUUAGGUAGUUGUGGGUAACGGCCCACCAAGCCUACGAUCCGUACGGGCCCUGAGAGGGGGAGCCCGGAGAUGGACAUGAGACAGGGUCCAGCCUACGGGCGCAGCAGGCGCGAAACUCGCAUGCGGAAAGCGCGACGGGGGACCCCGAGUGCCUSCUCUGGGAGGCUUUCGGAGUGUAAACAGCUCCGGGAAUAAGGCUGGGCAAGUCCGGUGCCAGCAGCCGCGGUAUACCGGCGGCCCAAGUGGUGGCCACUGUUAUGGGCCUAAAGCGUCCGUAGCCGGCCCGGUAAGUCUCUGCUUAAAUCCCGCGGCUUAACCGCGGGGCUGGCAGAGAUACUGCCGGGCUUGGGACCGGGAGAGGCCGGGGGUACCCCAGGGGUAGCGGUGAAAUGCGUUGAUCCCUGGGGGACCACCUGUGGCGAAGGCGCCCGGCUGGAACGGGUCCGACGGUGAGGGACGAAGGCCGGGGGAGCAAACCGGAUUAGAUACCCGGGUAGUCCCGGCUGUAAACUCUGCGGACUAGGUGUCGCGUGCCCUUCGGGGGCACGCGGUGCCGAAGGGAAGCCGUUAAGUCCGCCGCCUGGGGAGUACGGUCGCAAGACUGAAACUUAAAGGAAUUGGCGGGGGAGCACUACAACGGGUGGAGCCUGCGGUUUAAUUGGAUUCAACGCCGGGAAUCUCACCAGGGGCGACGGCAGGAUGAAGGCCAGGUUGACGACCUUGCCAGACGCGCCGAGAGGUGGUGCAUGGCCGUCGUCAGCUCGUACCGUGAGGCGUCCUGUUAAGUCAGGUAACGAGCGAGACCCGUGCCCCAUGUUGCCAUCCUCCCCUCCGGGGGAGGGGCACUCAUGGGGGACCGCCUCCGCUAAGGAGGAGGAAGGUGCGGGCAACGACAGGUCCGCAUGCCCCGAAUCCCCUGGGCUACACGCGGGCUACAAUGGCCGGGACAAUGGGAUGCGACCCCGAAAGGGGGAGCAAAUCCCCUAAACCCGGUCGUAGUCCGGAUCGAGGGCUGUAACUCGCCCUCGUGAAGCCGGAAUCCGUAGUAAUCGCGCCUCACCAUGGCGCGGUGAAUGCGUCCCUGCUCCUUGCACACACCGCCCGUCACGCCACCCGAGUCGAGCCCAGGUGAGGCCCCGUCCGCAAGGGCGGGGUCGAAC
RNAcentral lists this ribosomal RNA (1187 nucleotides) under Methanocaldococcus infernus. RNAcentral's name for it is "bacterial SSU rRNA". The record is from RNAcentral. Lineage: Archaea; Methanobacteriati; Methanobacteriota; Methanococci; Methanococcales; Methanocaldococcaceae.